UAUUUGAAUCACAGAACUCACCGUCACUACCAUAAUCCUUAUUACUCUCACCACUAAACCAUUCGUAGUUCAGCCCCUCCAUCCGUUGUCGUUGGCCCUAGUCUUCUUCUCCACGUCGUGCUCGGAGCGGUGGCGUUACAGUACCCGUCGUCGUCGUCGUUGGCCGUAAGAAAACGUCUUUGUCCCCGCGGCGAGCCUUUGUCUUCGAGCCCUUCUCUCUCUGUCUGAGGCCCCGUCGUUCCUCUCUCCUCGUCAAUACCAUUUCUUCCGCUGCCGUAUAUUAAGAUGCCCAUGAUAAGUUGUUGCACUACAAGAAAAAAGGCCUGUUGGCACAUUUUUUUCUUUUCACGCUUUUAAAGCGUGCCUAAAAGUGGUCUAUGGCCACGCUUUUGCGAGGGUGGCCACUGAUUUGUGAUUUAGCCACACUUUUUUUGCCACCCUUGAAAAGCGUGGCCAUAGAGAAAAAUUGGCACGCUUUUAUGAGGGUGUCCACUUACUUGAAAUUUGGCCACGCUUUUUUACUGCCACACUUAAAAAGCGUGGCGAUAGAGGGAAAUCGGCACGCUUUUAUGAAGAUAUCCAAGUUGGACACAACAUGUCAGCAACCUCAAGUAGGAUCUGCUACGGCUUCAUCCUCUAAUCAAAGGGAUUUCCUAGUUCCCCGUCCAGUGGUGGUGGUGCCCCGCAACCUCAUCUUUACGCCCCUUUCAUCCGCCCCAUAGCGAAUCACUGCUUGCUCCACAGACUUGUACGAAUGGUGUUCAAAACUCAUAGCCGGGCGAUGAAAACUUAGACCCAAAGGCAGAAUCCGAUGGAACAAUCAAACAAUUUCGUUUGAGUGUGAAGGAAGCUAUAAGCCACCUAACGGUAGAAAGAUUGUACUCAGGUUCAAUUGAAACCUGCAACAAGUUGGAGAUGAAGCUGGUAUACUAAGCGGCGUUUUCGGAUUGCUAAGAUCUGACUACACCAAAUUCCCAAUCUGCGAUGUCUAAUUCAAAGGCACGGUGGGGAGCUUCCACCAGACGUCACUGCAGAGAUGAAUUCAUUGGAGGGACAGAGUGGAAAGUAGAUCUUAGGAUUGGAAAUUGAUUUUUUUAAAUAUACAUUUUUUUGUUGACUAUGCAACUCUUAGUAGUGAAUAUACUUUGUUGAUAUUUGGAUAAAUAUAUGAAU
Molecule: long non-coding RNA, 1173 nt
Organism: Arachis stenosperma
Lineage: Eukaryota; Viridiplantae; Streptophyta; Magnoliopsida; Fabales; Fabaceae
Exons: 3
Source: RefSeq, a predicted model, not a curated record